Molecule: ribosomal RNA, 505 nt
Filed under: uncultured bacterium
Lineage: Bacteria
Description: partial 16S ribosomal RNA
Rfam family: Bacterial small subunit ribosomal RNA
Source: RNAcentral
GACGAACGCUGGCGGCGUGCCUAAUACAUGCAAGUGGGACGCAAGGAAACACACUGUGCUUGCACACCGUGUUUUCUUGAGUCGCGAACGGGUGAGUAACGCGUAGGUAACCUGCCUAUUAGCGGGGGAUAACUAUUGGAAACGAUAGCUAAUACCGCAUAAUAUUAAUUAUUGCAUGAUAAUUGAUUGAAAGAUGCAAGCGCAUCACUAGUAGAUGGACCUGCGUUGUAUUAGCUAGUUGGUAAGGUAAGAGCUUACCAAGGCGACGAUACAUAGCCGACCUGAGAGGGUGAUCGGCCACACUGGGACUGAGACACGGCCCAGACUCCUACGGGAGGCAGCAGUAGGGAAUCUUCGGCAAUGGACGAAAGUCUGACCGAGCAACGCCGCGUGAGUGAAGAAGGUUUUCGGAUCGUAAAGCUCUGCUGUAAGUCAAGAACGUGUGUGAGAGUGGAAAGUUCACACAGUGACGGUAGCUUACCAGAAAGGGACGGCUAACUACGUG